This 349-nucleotide long non-coding RNA is filed under the name Chrysolophus pictus (golden pheasant). RNAcentral describes it as "lncRNA (ENSCPIG00010012069.1)". The record is from RNAcentral. Lineage: Eukaryota; Metazoa; Chordata; Aves; Galliformes; Phasianidae.
CCAUUCAUAGAAUCACUAAGGUUGGAAAAGACCACUGAAAUCAUCAGGUCCAGCCAUCAACCCCUCACCACCAUCAUCCUGCAAACUGCAGCUGCUUGUUUCUGGAGGAGUGAAGGAAAGAAGAGAGCACACAGCCACAUCUCAGACAUGUACAGCAGCCUCUCUGGGGCAGGAGGGACCAGGGAACAGACCUCAGUGAUGGCUGCCUCUCCCACAAGCAGGAUGGGGUGCUCUUGCUUCUACAGCAAUACGUGGAAGGUUUUGUUUGUUUAAUUCUCCUGUGAGGCUGUUAUACGGUAUGUCCAGGAAAAUAUCUUUUUUUUUUUUCCUCUUUGGUUUGAAUCCGUUG